Alexandromys fortis (reed vole) is the source of this 7277-nucleotide long non-coding RNA. RefSeq lists it as uncharacterized. NCBI's taxonomy places the organism in Eukaryota, Metazoa, Chordata, Mammalia, Rodentia, Cricetidae. The transcript is spliced from 4 exons. The record is from RefSeq and is a predicted model, not a curated record.
GAGUGGACAGGGACUUUAACUGGGAUAAAAAUAAAGCCGUGUCUCCUGCCAGGGGAGCCUUUCUCCUUGAGGGGCUACUUCAGCUAGUUGAUGGAGCCGCAGGACCCGCGCUUGGGACCCUGCACGGGAGAGGACAGCAGAUUGCUACCAAUGAGAAUCGUUAAAUCAAGGUGGAAACAGGGCCUUGGGGGCAAGUUAAGGUGUUUGAUCCAAGCCUCUUCCUGCAGAUCACAGAUGGCUUGAUUAACACCCAGCGCAGCGUUCGUUCGGAGCAGCUGUUCUCCGUGGUCAAGUUUCUAUGCCCUCCCUCUCCAGUGGGAAGAACGGCCGAGAUUCAUUUCUCGGCUACUCCCUGCUGUCAGAACUGCCUCUGCCUUUGCCUCUUCCUUGUCCCAUUAGAAGAUUCCAUCUGUUUGGUGACCUGUCAAUCUACUGUGAGGAGAUUGCUAUGGUUCUUCAGCUUCACAUUUUGGUUCCUCUCAGCAAGUGCCAUUUUCUGCCAUUCUUUCUGGAAGCCAAUCCAGAAUAGACAAAUGCUGGGAUCAUGACUUCUGGCACUGACUGUCUUUGGGGAGAUUUCUUCUGCUCCCUGGAGCCACCACAAGCAAGACGGAGUCUGCGGCUGAAGGUAUUUGCUAAGUCACUCUUUACAGAAGUCAGCGCUAAUCUCCUGGGCUGAAGGUAUGAGGUUGAGUGGCAUGUUCAGUGGUUCUGAGAGUCCACUGUGACUCCGCUCUGUCCGGACCAGCCUCAACAAGAACAACUGAGAAAGCCUGACUCAGCAAUCAACGCCUGGUUUGCUAUUUGGUUUAUUCCUUCAUAUAAUAUAAUCCAAACGAAGUUAGCUGCUUCUCAGAGUGGGAUGAUGGAUGGAAUUUAUGGCCUGGAGUCACCCACUGCUUCAUCACUCUGGACUCGAAUGGAGAGUGAAACUGGAAAGCCACUGCUGGAGGGGAGCUGUUCGAUUUAAAGUGUUUGCCAGAGCACAACUGGCUAUCAAGGAGCAACGGAAAGGAGGAGGGGGCAAACUUCCGGUUAGCUGCUUCAUCACUUUGAGCCUCUGAAGGAAGGAUUCUUAAAUUGCCUUUAUCUACCAGCACCAUGCAGCUGGGACUCAAACUGUCAUUUGCUAAGAGAGAUUCCCAUGGACCCAAUGCUGAAUACGAGAGCCUGGGCGGCAGUGCAAUGCUCACUCGCAAUCCUGAAAAAGCUUAUUUUUCUGUCCUUUCUCCAAUCCACCUAGAAGAACAUUGGCUAGUGUCGGCCUCAGUGAUUCUGCCCUGUGGAUAGCUUCUGAGACCAAUCACUUGCCUUUGCACAGUCAACUAAAAUCUAACUCAAUACUUAGCUUUGAAAAAAGAUGCUGCUUGACUGGAGACAGCUUUGUGAUUUCUGGCAACUUAUUCCCUUUCAAUCAGAUGAAUUAGCAGGCCAGUUGUGAGAACCUCAACAGAUGCUGGUGAGCACAGGAACAAAAAUGGCUCUGGACAAUGCCUUCCCUUGUUUCUGAGACCAGGACUCGAGGUCUCAGAAACUUUAGAGGACCUGUGGUCUUCAUUUUGCAAGGCAUUGAUCUGAACAACUUGAUUUUCUUAGCCAUAACUUCACAUGGACUGUUCUUGACACUGUGGAAAUAAUCCAAGGCUGAUCCUGCAAACUGAGUCCGGCCUGGGUUCUAUUGAGCAGUUAAAAAAGGUUUCUCUUGAGUCCUGGCAGAGAAUUUUUUUUUUAUAUAUAAAUGAAACAAUUUGGAACUUUUUUUUUUUUUUUUUUUUUGAGGAGGCAGGGGCGGGGAGUGGUAUGUUCUGGUGGAAUCUGAGGGAUCUGGGACUGAGGAAAAACAGAACAUAGGAGAGAGACCUAUCUGUGUGAGGGGGUCUCAUGUAGGGAGAAAAGCAAUCUGUGGGGUCUCUGUGGAUCAGAACUAUAGGCUAGUUAAAAGGUGAGCCUUAUAAGUAGGUGAGAAACCAUUUUCAUACCACACUUCCCUGCGGCCUAUGCUGUUGUAUAAUCCUCCUAUACGUACUGGCAAUGGACUAAUCCCAUCUCUUUUUACUUUUCCUAAGUAGUGUCUAACUGUGGGCACCAAAGGCUUUUUAGAGCAAGUGCCACCAAUCAGCAGACUAAAGGGACAGUGCUGUCAUUUUUGGAUACCCUGGAAGAUUGGUUCUAAGACUAGGUACAACAAUGUGUAAACGCUUCCUUUUUGUGUAUACAAUGGCAUAGUUACAUAGAUCCUACACAGACCCUCCUGUCUAUUUUGCAUCAUUUCUGCUUCACUUUUACUACUGAGUACAAGUAACUAUUAUACUAUAUUGUUUACAUAAUAAUGACAAAGUCUGUGAUGUUUAAUAAUGAGACCGUUUUCAUCAAUGGCGGUUUGAAUCCAUGCAUGAAGAAUCUGUGAACUUGGAGGACCAACUUAAUCAUUAAACAUCAUUAUUAUUAUUAUUAUUAUUAUUAUUAUGCCUUCAACCCACCAGGAAGAACCUAAUAUCUCUAUUAGAAGAUUUAAGUCAACCUUUCUUAAAAAUACCGAUUUAAGAAUUUCCAAAUUUCCAACUGCUACUUAAGACUUCCACCAUUCUAAUCACUCAUUCCAGUAUGGCAAAUACAUCACAAUAACCUCGAUGCUUCUUGUAACCGCAUGUAGCAACGAUUAUACACCAGCCAAUGAUUUUAGAGCUUGCAUAGAGUACUUUAUUUAGUCUUUAAGCAAUCAGAUGCACAACACACUUUUCCUUAUGUAGAUGAAUUUGAAGGCAAGCCUCACUCAGGCAGGAGAGAUGAGACUCAAACCCACCCAUUUAGUUCCAAAAAUUUUCUUCGUAUAUAUGUCUAGGUCCAGUUUAUGACUGCCUUCUUAGACAUAACAUUGCUUCCUACUGAUGUAAUGGUUCUUCUCUUAGAAUUCAGAAGUUUUUCCAUGAAUGAGCUGGACAUUGUCAAUCCCUUAGAAUCUGCUUGGAACCAGAAACCUGUCUACAGCUCAUUUUUGUAGUUACCUGCCGUAGAUAGUAUAAUUCCAGCACAAGGUGGCAGUUCAAUGAACAAUUUAUCUGACAACUGACAACAUUGUACUUGAUAGUGAAUUUUACUCAGGAUUUUUUUUUUUGCCAAAAAUUUUAUUAUCCCUUUAUUCACCAUGACACUAACAUACAUACAUUGAACCUUCUUCACAAAGUGAAUGAGGAGUAAUACAUUGUACAUUCGGGAUGAAUUGCAAAACAUAUUUUCUAUCAUGCACAUUUAUAUAUCACACUCAUGUAAGAUUUAUAGACGAAUAAGGAGAUGUCUACCAAAAACCCCUAUAGAAGAAUGAAGUGGGCUGAAUGUGGCAGUGCACACCUGUAAUCCCAAUGCUCCGGAGAUAGAGGCAGGGGGAUUACAACUUGAGGGCCAGCCUGUGCCAUGUAGGAAAACCCUGUGCCAUGUAGUAAACCUUGUUACUUUCCAAGUGAGAAAGUAAAUAAAAAUUAUGGUGAUUUCCACAAAGGAAAAAAAAGUUCUGAAGUGGCAAUAGUGAACCUGAUGUGUGCUUGGGGAAGCAAGGAGGCUUCUGGGAGGGAGCAAUGUUGAGUUAUAGUUCAAGGUUAAGCAGGAGUUACCAUGGCCCUGAGAGUUCUGCAGGGGCCCAAGGAUCUUGUAUGUUUGCCUCCCCACAGUUUAGCUUCCUCUCCCCUGUUCUCUUCAUUCCUGGCCCACUAGCCUUGUCUCAGGUCAUCAAACACGCAAGAUUCCUACUCUUAGAUUCAUUGCCGUCUCUCUGCCUGCAGCUGCUUUUCCCAGUCUUUCAUUCCUUCAUUCUCUCACUUCAAGGCACGCACGCUCAAUGUAUCAGAGUUCUGCAGAGAAACAGACUCAAUGGGAUAGGCUCUCCCCACCCCCCGAUUUAUUUGCAGGAAUUGGCUCAAGUGAUGUGGAGGCUGGCAAGUCUGAGAUCUGGAGGGCAGACUGGCAGGCUGGAAGCUUAGUGGGCAUGGAGCCUGCAGUAUUGGAUGAAACUUCCUUAAGAAAUUUCAGAUUUUGCGGAGGAGGCUGAUUGGACAAGCCUGUGCACACCACCGGGGCGACCUCCUUUCCUACAAGUCAGGUGACCGACACUGUUUUAACUACAAAAUACCUUCACAACACCGCUGAGAUUUGUGUUUGAUGAAGUAACUGGGUUACUUUAUUGCCUGGUGUAAAAAAGUAACCACUGUAGGCAUUAAUGUCUAUGUACAAACAGUUUAUAGUAGCAAUAAUUUUCAGCUGUCAGCAAUACUUCUGCCCUACCUUAGUCUUUACAGCUGGGAUCGUUCCACUCCCUCCCCUCUUGGAGGCCUUCUUCACAUACUUUACAUAUGUUCAUUCAAUGAUAUUUUCUAUCUUUGCAUUUUGAAGCACUUCUUGGUAUAGGGAUAUAGUCUAAAAUUCUCCACUCUUGGGUCUGGUUCUUCAGUCCAUACCUGCCAUAACUCUUAGGCUGACAUUUCCCCGUAUCUAAAUGGAUAACUUCGUUUGGGCUCAUUAUUAGUUCAUUGAUUUAAUCCCCAGUUCAUCAACAAUGAUUUUCAGUAGUAAAGAUGUAUAAAUGCACUGCCCUGUUUGUCUUGACACACAUAUAAGGUUGGUUGAAGACAUCUUUAUAUUCUUUUUAUUCCCUACAUUACUAUUUAGCUGACCACAGAGAAACACAUUUACUAGUCUUCUGCUCACUUUCAAAGCCUUUUAAAUUAUCCUGCACUUUGUUCCCAGUGACUAUUUUUUUUAACAACCAGCAAGAUGACAGUAUUGUCUUCAGCCCUGCAGUUUUCGUCAGCCUUCUCACCUUAGGGUCCAUCCUUGGGAAUUUCGUGCUGAAACUUGUCCAUCUAGCAAAGACUGGUCACUCCCCUUCUAAUUUGUGGGUUUUACACGAUAAGUAACUGUUCACUUCAAUCUGUUGUGACUUCUAAAAUAAACUCUUUAUCAAACAUAACAUAUGUGCAGAAACAUUGUUUUCUGUUACCCUUUUUAAAAAUUGUUUGCAAAAUUCAUAUAAUGUAUCUUUAAAAUCGAACGCGCCAUCCCUUUCCUCCUCCUUCCUCUCCAACUCGAUCUUUUCUCCUCUUCUUCCCCUCCACCUAGUUUCAUUUUCCUUCUUUGAUUUUUAAAGACCAUUGCAAGUCCUAGUGCAUGGGUGUUGGGCCAUGGAUCAUGAGUAGCCUCUCAGGGCCUGCAUCCCUGAAGGAACUUUUACAUUUCUUAGGCUUUGGUCGUUGUUGCUGCUGCCGCCUCAACUUUUAGCUUUUGGUUUAAUUUACUGUUGUUUCAAAGAGUUAUAUUUAUUCUAUUUAUUUAAUUUGCUCUUUUUUAAGAAUAUGAGACAUUUUCUUUGGACAGGGUCUUUCUAUUAUUCCAGACUGACUUUGAACAUCUAAUCUUGUGGCCUCAGCCUCUCAAGGGCUAGGAUUCUAGGAUUUUAGGCAUGCAUCAUGAAAACGAGCAAAAAGGAGAGAGAGACCACACACACAGAGACAGAGAGAGACACACACACAGACCCACAUGCAUAUAUAUACACACACACACACAGAGAAAGAGAGAGAGAGAGAUAGAAAGAGACACACACCACACAGACAGACAGACAAACACACACAUAGACACACACACACACACACACACACACAGAGAGAGAGAGAGAGAGAGAGAGAGAGAGAGAGAGAGAGAGAGAGAGAGAGAGAGAGUUAUUUGGGGACUUGGGGAUUGAACCCAGGGCCUCAGUGCUCUACCACAGACCUGCAUAACCUCCCUGAAAACACAUAGUUCCAGGCUAUGUGUUUCCCUCUCAUUCUAACGUCACCCCCAUUCCAAAUUUUUGAUUUGAUUUAGUUCAGAAAAAAAUUCUAAUUUUAUUGUGGUUUCCUUGACUAUGAACAUAGAAGCACAUUGUCUAACUUUAUAAUGUUUGAGGCAUUUUUUGUUUAUUUAUUUAUGGCUGUUGAAUUUCUUCUGUUCUUUCUUCUGAAGUUACAGUUACAUGCUUGGUAGCUCUCCCUCCACCCCACCAUGCCCAGAAUUCAUUAGGUCUAUGUCUCUGUUCAUGAUUCCUGUAUGUUCCAUGUGUUUCCUUCUCUAUGUCACUGACAUAUGUUCUAAUUCAGCAAUAUUCUAAUGAGAGUAUUGCUGAGAUCAACAAGGCUUUUAAUCUGCCUAUUAGCUAUUUUAAAUUACUUUACUUUUCAGUUAUAAUAAAUUAUUUUUAAAAUUUUAGUUUAACUCUAUUUGGUUAUUUAUAUUCCUGACUAAACCAUGCAAUUAUUUAAGAAUCUCUGUGUUAUCCAUUGGCACAGGAGACCACUUCCUAAAUAUAACCCCAGCAGCAAAGAUACUGAGAGAAUAAUUAAUAAAUGGGACUUCCUGAAACUGAAAAGUUUCUAUAAAGCAAAGGAUAUGGUCAACAAGACAAAAUGGCAGCCUACAAAAUGGAAAAAGAUCUUAACCAACCCCACAUCAGACAGAGGACUGAUUUCCAAAAUUUACAAAGAACUCAACAAAUUGGUCAUUCAAAGAACAAAUAACCCAAUAAAAUAAAAUAGAGUACAGACCUAAACAGAGAACUCGCAACAGAGGAAUCUAAAAUGGAUGAAAGACACUUAAGGAAAUGCUCAACACUUUUAGUCAUCAGAGAAAUGCUAAUCAAAACAACUCUGAGAUUCUAUCUUAAACUUGUAAAAAUGGCCAAGAUCAAAAACACUGUUGUUGACAGCUUAUGCUGGAGAGGAUGUGGGGUAAAAGAAACACUUCUGCAUUGCAGAUGGGAGUGCAAGCUGGUACAACCCCUUUGGAUAUCAGGAUGACAAUUUCUCAGAAAAUUAGGAAACACCCCUACUCAAAAUCCAUCAGUAUCACUUUUGAGUAUAUAUCCAAGGGAUGCUCAGUUGUGCCACAAUGUGGUACAACAUCUGCUCAGCUUGUUCAUAGCAGCUUUGUGUGUCAUAGCCCGAACCUGGAAACAACCCUAAAAGCCCCUUGACUGAAGAAUGGAUAAGGAAAAUGUGGUACAUUUACACAAAUGGAGUACUACAUAGCAGAAAAAAAAAUAAUGACAUCUUAAAAUUUGCAGGCAAAUGGGUGGAUCUAGAAAACAUCAUAUUGAGUGAGGUAACCCAGAUCCAGAAAAACAUAUAUCAUAAUACUCAUAAGUGGCUUUUAGACAUAAAGCAAGGAAAAUUAGACUACGAUUCACAAUCCUAGAGAACCUAGACAACAAUGAGGACCCUAAGAGAGACAUACAUGGAUCUAAUGUACAUGGGAAG